Molecule: long non-coding RNA, 1301 nt
Filed under: Ricinus communis (castor bean)
Lineage: Eukaryota; Viridiplantae; Streptophyta; Magnoliopsida; Malpighiales; Euphorbiaceae
Description: long non-coding RNA (RCOM_LNC001885)
Source: RNAcentral
AAGCAGAUAAUUAAUCUUUUUUUGGUGCAAAUAAAUGUAUAAAAAUAUCUUUAUUGUAUACUAAACCCCUAUUAAAAAAAAUUCAAAAUUAUUUUUAAUUUUUAAUAUUAAAAAACCUUUUAACUUUAAUUUUUUAAAAAAAAUUAAAAAGAAAACGAGCACCACCAUUUUCAAUCCACUGUCUCCUUCACCACCGUUAACACUACACCGCCUGCAACCCAUCAUUACCACUACCAUUGCUUCAUUGUUGCACGCAUGCAACCGCCACCACAAUCAGUGUCCCACCUCCUUAUCACCAUCAAAACAACCAAACCAUGUUCUAAUCUCUUCUAAAAAUCAAAUACCCAAAAGCAAAAACAACAACAUUCCUUGCCGCAAUUAAUUGACCAACAACAUAUUUCAAAUGUUGCCUCGGCCAUAUCUCAAUUUGCUUCAGCCUCUCAAGUAGAACAGUUGUGGCAUCCUCAAGCAAACAUCCUAUUAGUUAUGUUUCAUUAGCAACCUUCUCAGGCAAACAUCUAAAAAUACUGAAUAGCAAAUAUCAACAAAAUUAAUGCAAAACAAGAAAGAUAGAAACAAAAAAAUCCAACAAUUUGCCUAUGAUUCACAAUUUCCAAAACAUUACAAAAAAUAAAAAGAUGAAUGUACAAAUACCUUCGCAUCUAAAGACAACAUUCUAUUUUUAAGGCUCCAUCAACGGCUGCAAAUGUCUUCAGUACAUUCUUAAAGCACAAUCAAUGGUUGCAAAUGCCUUUGCAUCUAAAGACAAAGUUGUCAAAACCCAUCAACACAACAAAUGGUACCAUGAAAGGAUGACUCGAGAACAAGCCCUGCUGCAAGCAAAGAGCAGAACUGUUAUGAUGGCGUUGCUAUGAUGAAUGAUGCUAAAAUCGCUAGAUUUAUGAGCUACAGUUCUAAAAGAAAUAUUAAAGGAUCAAAAGGAAGAACAAACAAAUUAAAGAAAGAGGAUAUAAAUUGAUGUGAGCAGCAGUUGUAGAGAGAAGAAAACUGAAUUUUUUAGAAAGGAAAAUAGGAAAGGAAUGAACUAUGGAGGUGGGAUUGUUGGUAUUUGAACUAGGAAAGGAAUGGCUUUUAGCUUUUGGAUAUUUGAUUUUUGAACUACGAAAGGAAUAGCUUUUGGGUAUUUGAUUUUUGAAAGAGUUUAGACCCAUAGUUAGGUUUUUGGUUGUUCUAAUGGUGAUAAAGAGGUGAGGGGUUGCAUGCGGUGGAGUGUUAAUGGUGGUGAAGGCGGCAACGAAUUGAAAAUGGUAGCGUUCAUUUUUCUUUAUUUUUUAUUUUUU